GGCUACGUAGCUCAGCUGGUUAGAGCACAUCGUUCGAAUCCCGUCGUAGCCACCA
This 55-nucleotide transfer RNA is filed under the name Citrobacter portucalensis. Its description in RNAcentral is "tRNA-OTHER". The record is from RNAcentral. Lineage: Bacteria; Pseudomonadati; Pseudomonadota; Gammaproteobacteria; Enterobacterales; Enterobacteriaceae.